CGCGGAACGUAAACCCCGAGGCCACCGCGCCGAUAGGCGGGAGACCCCGUCUCUGGCCACGCCUUGGGCGGAACCAGGUGCCAUGGUCCCCGCCCCCUAGAAGCUCCGCCCAUCCCCUCCCCGCGCAGAAUCUUCUCGAGGAGUCAGUGUCCUGCGGUCUGGGAGUUCUGUCUCCGCUGCUCUCGGGACAUGCUGGGUUUGGGGCUCGAGCACCGGGAGGCUGAGGGCCAGGUCCUUUGCAAGCCGAGGAGACCCUGCGAUGGGGAAACUGAGGCAAAUGACUUGUACAAGAGGCAGAAUCGGAACCUCAGUCUGGUCUGCCAUUCCUGAUGAGAGUCAAGGUGGGAGACCAGGUGUUUGUACUGGAGGGAGCAUUCAGUUGAAAUGGUUCACAUAUGCUCACACAGCAACACUCCCCGCCCCAAUUAUUUACCAACAGAGAAAUAAACAAUCGU
Molecule: long non-coding RNA, 455 nt
Organism: Manis javanica (Malayan pangolin)
Lineage: Eukaryota; Metazoa; Chordata; Mammalia; Pholidota; Manidae
Source: RefSeq, a predicted model, not a curated record